RNAcentral lists this ribosomal RNA (837 nucleotides) under Clostridium sp. RNAcentral's name for it is "bacterial SSU rRNA". It matches the Rfam family "Bacterial small subunit ribosomal RNA", at positions 1 to 870 of the family's 1533-position model. The record is from RNAcentral. Lineage: Bacteria; Bacillati; Bacillota; Clostridia; Eubacteriales; Clostridiaceae.
UUUAGAUGUUUUGAUUCUGGCUCAGGAUGAACGCUGGCGGCGUGCCUAACACAUGCAAGUCGAGCGAUCUCUUCGGAGAGAGCGGCGGACGGGUGAGUAACGCGUGGGUAACCUGCCCUGUACACACGGAUAACAUACCGAAAGGUAUACUAAUACGGGAUAACAUACGAAAGUCGCAUGGCUUUUGUAUCAAAGCUCCGGCGGUACAGGAUGGACCCGCGUCUGAUUAGCUAGUUGGUAAGGUAAUGGCUUACCAAGGCAACGAUCAGUAGCCGACCUGAGAGGGUGAUCGGCCACACUGGAACUGAGACACGGUCCAGACUCCUACGGGAGGCAGCAGUGGGGAAUAUUGCACAAUGGGCGAAAGCCUGAUGCAGCAACGCCGCGUGAGCGAUGAAGGCCUUCGGGUCGUAAAGCUCUGUCCUCAAGGAAGAUAAUGACGGUACUUGAGGAGGAAGCCCCGGCUAACUACGUGCCAGCAGCCGCGGUAAUACGUAGGGGGCUAGCGUUAUCCGGAAUUACUGGGCGUAAAGGGUGCGUAGGUGGUUUUUUAAGUCAGAAGUGAAAGGCUACGGCUCAACCGUAGUAAGCUUUUGAAACUAGAGAACUUGAGUGCAGGAGAGGAGAGUAGAAUUCCUAGUGUAGCGGUGAAAUGCGUAGAUAUUAGGAGGAAUACCAGUAGCGAAGGCGGCUCUCUGGACUGUAACUGACACUGAGGCACGAAAGCGUGGGGAGCAAACAGGAUUAGAUACCCUGGUAGUCCACGCCGUAAACAAAGAGUACUAGGUGUCGGGGGUUACCCCCCUCGGUGCCGCAGCCCCCGCAUUAAAGGAACCU